AAAAGUUGUCUACCUCCCCACCAUGGCAAACCCAUCUAAAACAACCGAAACUCCGUCCCUAUCUCUCCAAACCCUAACCCUAAAAAUCUAAUUUCUAAAUUUCAAAAUCCAAAUCGAUUCUAAUCGCAGUCUUUCCCACACACAUUUUCGUUACUCUCUCUAUCCAAAUUCCAAUGGAAUCGAAUUGGAACUCCCUCAGUUCUGAUCUCACAGAGUUGGUCCUCUCCUAUCUUCCGAUCCGAUCCAUCAUCGUCGCCUCGGCCAUCUGCAAGCCCUGACAGUCCGUCGUCACCCAAUCUUCCUUGUCGGCCCGCGUCUCCCCCACCAAGAAGCCUUGGUUCUUCAUCUGCGGCCAGAACAACAUCUUUGCCAAGAACAAUCAGGCAUUCGGUUUCGAUCCCGAAUCAAACGAAUGGAUCCGAUUGCCGAACGCUCUCUUUCCCCCGCGGCCCGCCCAGGAAGAAUCCUUCAUCGGCUCUGGGGGCUUCUUUUUCACGACCACCUCCUCCACCUCCUCCAAAUUCAGCUAUGCCCCUGUUCUCAAAGGCAGAUCCUCUCUCUCUCACUCCAUUCCUUAUUUCAUUCUCUCAUCUUCCUCCCUCUCUCUCUCUCUCUCUCUCUCUCUCUCUCUCUCUCUCUCUGUUUCCACCAUCAGCGCCCUCGCCAUCUCCCUCUCCCUCUCCCUCUCUCACGGUCCCUCGUCGUCUCCCUCUCCCUCUCUCAAGCUCCGGCGCCUUCACACCUCCUUCAACACCACCGGAUCUUCAGCAGCGCUGCCUCCACCGGUUCUCCCUCGCCCUCACUCCCCCUAACAUUGAGGCUUCUUCCUCUUCAAAGGGGGAACAUUUGGAUGCUGACACGAAUUUGCUGAGGUUGUUGUGGCACGAAAGGGGCCUCCUGUCAAUGGUCAGUCUACUGUUCAACUCCAAACAAGCUAUUGAUUGUUGUGCAUUCAAUGAAUGCUUUCUUUCUGGACAGUAUUUUCAAUUGGAUCACCCUAUACCAUCAAUUGGAUCAAGUGAGAUUCUUUUGAGUGCCAAGGAGAUCAUGAAGACGCCCAAAGGUCAUUAAUGAAGCUCUCAUAUGUGGGAACAUAGUCAAGUUUGUGCACCAAAAGGCCCUCAAGGAUGUCAGAUUUAAAGAUUAAUUUUGAAUUGUAUAAAGAGAAGAUAAGAGGAGAAUUAAAGGCUUGAAUGGAACCUCGAACAACAACUGAUAGGGAAGACAAAGGUCUUCUUGAGAGCUGGCCAGAUGGCUGAGUUGGAUGCACGCAGAGCAUAAGUUUUGGGUCAUGCGGCCAGAGCUAUUCAAAGACAAAUCUGUACUCAUAUUGCUCGCAAGGAGUUCAUCAUGUUACGCAAGGCUGCCAUUUAUUUGCAAUCCAGUUGGAGAGAAGAACCUACAGGUAAUCUGUCGAAUUUUCAGAAACCUUUCGGGCAUGGUCCAAGCCUUGGAUGCUGAACUUCUAGAAGAAAGGCAUUGUGUGACAUUUGAAUGAUAUGGGAGUCCUCUUUGCUGGUAGAAAAUGAUGAAAAGAACUCGGUUGGUAAUCUCAAGUGCCCCAUGGAUGCUAAAAAAAAGCGUAAAAGACGAAGUAUUGCCAGAUUGGCAAAGGAUACUCCAGGUAAUGAAACAUAAGGACAACACUCCCUUUUGGAAGAAUACCUUCUAAUAGAGAGAGAUGAAGAAAGCUCUGAGAUUUCCAAAAGUGGAGAGGUUUCUCCUUUUUCUGCACCUUUUUCAAGUGAA
Magnolia sinica is the source of this 1749-nucleotide long non-coding RNA. RefSeq lists it as uncharacterized. NCBI's taxonomy places the organism in Eukaryota, Viridiplantae, Streptophyta, Magnoliopsida, Magnoliales, Magnoliaceae. The record is from RefSeq and is a predicted model, not a curated record. The transcript is spliced from 9 exons.